This 253-nucleotide ribosomal RNA is filed under the name uncultured bacterium. RNAcentral's name for it is "partial 16S ribosomal RNA". It matches the Rfam family "Bacterial small subunit ribosomal RNA", at positions 524 to 776 of the family's 1533-position model. The record is from RNAcentral.
UACGUAGGGUGCAAGCGUUAUCCGGAAUUAUUGGGCGUAAAGAGCUCGUAGGCGGUUUGUUGCGUCUGCCGUGAAAGUCCGGGGCUCAACUCCGGAUCUGCGGUGGGUACGGGCAGACUAGAGUGAUGUAGGGGAGACUGGAAUUCCUGGUGUAGCGGUGAGAUGCGCAGAUAUCAGGAGGAACACCGAUGGCGAAGGCAGGUCUCUGGGCAUUAACUGACGCUGAGGAGCGAAAGCAUGGGGAGCGAACAGG